AUACGGAGGGUGCGAGCGUUAAUCGGAAUUACUGGGCGUAAAGCGUGCGUAGGCGGUUUGCUAAGUCAGAUGUGAAAGCCCCGGGCUUAACCUGGGAACUGCAUUUGAUACUGGCAGACUAGAGUAUGAUAGAGGGGGGUAGAAUUCCUGGUGUAGCGGUGAAAUGCGUAGAUAUCUGGAGGAAUACCAGUGGCGAAGGCGGCCCCCUGGAUCAAUACUGACGCUGAGGUACGAAAGCGUGGGGAGCGAACAGGAUUAGAAACCCUAGUAGUCC
Molecule: ribosomal RNA, 274 nt
Filed under: uncultured bacterium
Lineage: Bacteria
Description: partial 16S ribosomal RNA
Rfam family: Bacterial small subunit ribosomal RNA
Source: RNAcentral